GCACCUACAACAGAAGACAAUCCAUAAAUGACCAUGUGAUGGGUGCUCCAUCAAUGAUGAAAGGAAUGAAUGAGUACCUUUUAUGGCAUGGUGGGAGGUGGAGGUGGCGGGAGCACUUGAAGGUGGAGGAGAUUGGUACAUGCCUGCCCCUUGUGACUGAAUCUGGAACAGGUGCACGUUUCUGCCUGCUUCGUGAAGCAAACUGCCAAAGUCGAAUCAAGGCAACCAUUCCCAUAGCGCUGCGUCCUCAUGAGCUGACCAUUAACCAACCUUCCUGUAUCCAUCUGGACACAUAAUUGCAAGUGACGGGAAUUCCAACUAAAACUGAAUUGAUCAAAAUAAGGAAUGUGUUGGUUCAUGUGGUUGGAAGUUGAGAAGCACCCUGGCUUCCGGCAAGACUUGAUCCUGGCCACAGCUCUUGCUGUACUCAUGCUUCUUCCUGUUUUGGGAAUGAUCUCCAACUUUUCUUUGUUUGCCAAAAAAUAAUCAUCCUUCCAGGACCAAAUCAAAAGUCAACUCUUCGAAGCCUUCCUGUCUGUCUUGUCACAGGCCAGUCACACUGCAGGGCCCUCAUCUCUUUUCUUGAGAGAGUCCAAAGACUGUGGGACUGGGCCUGCUGGUCUGCUGGUGUUCUCCCAUCUCUGCCUCUGAGCACCCUGCUGGAAAGGCUACCCUGAGAUGUUGGUGGACUGGAUCUCUGAUCUAGAAAAAACUGCUCAGAGGCAAAAGCUACAAGAGGCACGUUCUGGCAUGAAUGAUACUGGCUCUUCCGGCCCCCAGAUUGCAGAUCCACAGAGAAGACUAUGGGUAAAAGAUGACCCCAGGUAUAGAACUUCAUCUUAGGAAGAGAUCACCCAACCAGAGACUUCUUACACAUCAUUUAGUUGAUUUUAGUUAACGAGAGCAUGGAAGAUGUUGGAAUAAUUGCUAACAAUCCUGGCCAGGGAAAUUAGGAAGCCCAUCCUCUAAUUAAAAUUUAAUGUAGAGGAACUGACCAUCAUGAAUGAAUGGACUCAAUUCCUUGAGAAGAAGACAGAUAAUUUCAAACUAUUUCCUAGAACAAGUAAAGGCACACAGUUGUACAGAGUGAGGAGGUUUCCCUAGGCAAGAUUGGUGGCAGCCUCAAGAUGUAUGGGGCCGGAGGCUGCUAUAUUCUCACUGGGUGAGAGAAAUGGAUAGGGAAUGAUAAUGAUGAAUGAGUUUUCUUUCAAAGUACUCACUAAGGGAGGCUCUCCAUUUUCUUUUUCCUCACUAAAGUGCCUCAAAAUGCUUAAAGAAUUCCACUUUGGAAUUACUUCCGAACUAGUUUAUAUUUUCUAUCCCGUGACUCUACAAUUGCACCUCAUUUUUAACCAAAAAAUCAUUUCCUGCUUCAUCAACCACCUUAUUCAUCAGAUGUGGCCCUGGAUGAUUUUUGGUUCUUUCCAAAAAUGAAAUUCAACCUCAAAGCUUAAAGAUUUAUGCUAUCACAGCUCCUGAAGAAAUGUGCCAUCAACUCUGAAGAUGAAGAGGAGUUCCAGAUAUAUUUUGGUAUUGAAAAAAAUUUACGUCUCAUUAUUUUGCCAUCUCAUACAUUUUCAUAUCUUCUUGUCUUAUAUUGCUUUGAAGAUGAAACUCAGAUCUGUAUAAAGUAUUUCAAGCAUAUUAA
This is a long non-coding RNA of Pan troglodytes (chimpanzee), 1648 nucleotides long. RefSeq lists it as uncharacterized. The transcript has 4 exons. The record is from RefSeq and is a predicted model, not a curated record. NCBI's taxonomy places the organism in Eukaryota, Metazoa, Chordata, Mammalia, Primates, Hominidae.